This 484-nucleotide ribosomal RNA is filed under the name uncultured bacterium. Its description in RNAcentral is "partial 16S ribosomal RNA". It matches the Rfam family "Bacterial small subunit ribosomal RNA", at positions 30 to 507 of the family's 1533-position model. The record is from RNAcentral.
AUUGAACGCUGGCGGCAGGCCUAACACAUGCAAGUCGAGCGGAUGAAGGGAGCUUGCUCCUGGAUUCAGCGGCGGACGGGUGAGUAAUGCCUAGGAAUCUGCCUGGUAGUGGGGGAUAACGUCCGGAAACGGGCGCUAAUACCGCAUACGUCCUGAGGGAGAAGGUGGGGGAUCUUCGGAUCUCACGCUAUCAGAUGAGCCUAGGUCGGAUUAGCUAGUUGGUGGGGUAAAGGCCUACCAAGGCGACGAUCCGUAACUGGUCUGAGAGGAUGAUCAGUCACACUGGAACUGAGACACGGUCCAGACUCCUACGGGAGGCAGCAGUGGGGAAUACUGGACAAAGGGCGAAAGCCUGAUCCAGCCAUGCCGCGUGUGUGAAGAAGGUCUUCGGAUUGUAAAGCACUUUAAGUUGGGAGGAAGGGCAGUAAGUUAAUACCUUGCUGUUUUGACGUUACCAACAGAAUAAGCACCGGCUAACUUCGUG